Molecule: non-coding RNA, 1774 nt
Organism: Cyanistes caeruleus (blue tit)
Lineage: Eukaryota; Metazoa; Chordata; Aves; Passeriformes; Paridae
Source: RefSeq, a predicted model, not a curated record
GUUAAAUUAGGGAAAAGUAGAGGGGAAAGAGGGAAAGGAGGAAGGCUGGCUCGACCCUCCCACCCCACGCGUGUCUGCACCCCCUACAGCCGUGACCGAGAGGGCUUAAAGGAGAGGGGUGGGCAUUAUCCACUGCAGCCCCGUUAGUGCUGCCCAAAGUGGGAGCAGACCCCAAGCAGCACCCACAAAAUUCCCCCUCCCCGGUGGUUUUUUAUCGCUCUCCCCCGUUUUUCCCGUGUGGGGAAGCGGGAGGAGCUGGAAGCACAGUGGGGUGAGCCGCUGGGGACUGGGAAUGCCGUCGGUCUGGAUGGGGAGGGAUGUCCCAGAGCGGUGGGAAAUGUUGGGGGAAAGGGGUGCUUUACUUCAUGUCGGGUUGGUUUCGCACUUGGGGAAAUUUGGGGGAUUUUGGGGUGGGUUUGGGCCUUGGGAUGCCAUUGGGGCCUUGCGGGUGGCAAUGGCAAUGGCAAGACCCCAAAACCCGCUUGUGGAAAGGGGUCAGGGUGAAACCCCUUCCCCAAGGAGGGUCCGGGAAAGGGGGGGAGAUGAGUUGAGGUGAUGUUUUCUCUGGAAAUCAUGGAAGCAGCCUCUGGGAACAGCCCGGUCUGGUGGAAGGUGUCCCUGCCCACGGCAGGAGGGUCAGGACUGGAUGGGCCUUAAGGUCUUUUCCAACCCAACCCAUCCUGGAGCUGUAGGAUUCCAUGAACACCACCUCAGGGCAGGAGAAGGGCUGGAUGGAGCACGGAGCGGGGAAUUACGGCCGGAGACAGAACUCUUGGGACUGCUUUAGGUUUCAGCAGCAGAUUCCCCCGGCUGAACCCCUCGGCUGGGCUGAAUUUAGCAGCAGAAGAGAUAACCAGCAGAUAAGGACUGAUACCCUGGGAGGACAGCGGCAGACAAUGGGCGGCCGGGCAAGGGGAGAGAAGCCGGAGGCAGCGUUGGGAAGGGCAACACCAGGAGCAGAGAAGAUUUCAAGAACCUGUUUUGGCUUUGCUACUUCCAGGAAAAAAGCUACAAAAGCGAUUCCCGUGGAUUGUUUGGCGUGAAGAGUGGCCGGAUCCAGCCCUUUCUGCAGGGAAUUAUCGGCCGGAGGGGCCGGGAAUGGCAGGGACGAGCAUCCCAAGAGCCGGCAGGGAGAGGAUGGAUUUAGGACACAUUUAGGAUUUUCUCCCGGAAAAAGCAGACGGGACACAGCAAAACCCAGCGGCAAAAAAAAAAAAACAACCCAAAACUAAACCCAAAACUGUGUUCUGCACGCGGUGGAGACUUUUUUUUUUCCUUGCGAUUAACGAAAUCUGUGUGAAAAUAACCCAGGGGAACAAACUUUGGCCUUGCCUCUCUCCUUUCCAGCCUUCAGUUCUGCCCCAGGCAGGAAAAAAGUCGAUACGAAAAUAUGCCUAUUUUUAGGGCUUUUCUUGUGGUGUUUUUUGGGGUUUUUUUAAAUAAUUUUUUCCCCCCGUAUCGAACUUACUUCCGCGGUGGUUUUAGAGUUAAAGCUCCGGGUGUUGAUGCAUGGGAAAAAAAAAAAAAAACAAACCAAAAAACAACCAAACCUCCCCCCAAAAAAACCCCAAAACACUUUAGAAACUAGUGGCGGGGUGGAAGGAGGGGAAGAGGGGAGAAAGUUAAUUUAAAUUUCUAUCUGCGCUAAAAAUUGAUUUUUUAAAAAGUCACGAAGAAAAAUGGUUGAAAAUAAGUGGAAAAAUCAGCGGGGCAAAUGUGAUUUUAGGAGGGCAAAAAAGAAUAAAAGCGGCCGGCGGCUGCUGCGUGUUGGACA